UAGGAGGCGGGAGAGGCGGACGGUACUCCGAGGGUAGGGGUAAAAUCCUUUGAUCCCCGGAAGACCACCAGUGGCGAAGGCGGUCCGCCAGAACGCGCUCGACGGUGAGGGAUGAAAGCUGGGGGAGCGAACCGGAUUAGAUACCCGGGUAGUCCCAGCUGUAAACGAUG
This 170-nucleotide ribosomal RNA is filed under the name uncultured archaeon. Its description in RNAcentral is "partial 16S ribosomal RNA". It matches the Rfam family "Archaeal small subunit ribosomal RNA", at positions 593 to 762 of the family's 1478-position model. The record is from RNAcentral.